Molecule: long non-coding RNA, 1740 nt
Filed under: Triticum aestivum (bread wheat)
Lineage: Eukaryota; Viridiplantae; Streptophyta; Magnoliopsida; Poales; Poaceae
Description: long non-coding RNA (TAES_LNC008967)
Source: RNAcentral
UCUCUCCUCAUCGUGAGCCCCUCCCCCAGCACCCCGGCAGAGAUCAUCCAGCCACCGACAUGCCGGAGUCCCUGCCGGCCGCCACCGAGAUGGCGAGAAGAUUGCUCUGUUUCCUUCACAAAAAUCAAGAGGAAAUCGUUGGCUACUGUAAUCCUGCUACACAAUAUUCAGUUAGCUAGAUGUUUGCUUUUCUUCAGUUUCGUCAGAAUAAGCAGCUGGUAGCUUUUGUUUUUGCUAGAGCAAAACGUUGCAGUUAGUUGCAGGAAGCACCAAAAUCUCUUGUGUUCGUUUCCUUCCUGUGAUCGACGGAGAGAAAUGAGACAGAAGCUAGGUAUCUGAACCAUCAGAAAUCUAUAUAGCCAAAGAGAAAUUUCUGUACUGAACACUUCCUAGAUAAAACAUGACUGAAAAUAAUUAUAACUCCGUGAUGCAGUUGUACUGACUGGUCUGAAGGUAAUUGUAGCGGAGGAACCAAGGGAGCAUCGACUGGUCUGAAGGUAAUCAUCCCGGGCACUAUUGAUGUUACUGAAGCUAGCUCUAUGAUUUUCUCGGUUACUAAGUUAUAUAUGGCAUGAUGCCAAGAGGUGAUACUGGGCGGUACUAGUACUAGUGCAGAAGUAGGAUCAGAUUUUGUUGCAUGAUGCCAAGAUGUGACACUGACACUAAAUCGUACUAGUACUAGUCUAAAAGCAAGGUCAUAUGCGUGUGGAUGUGGCUGUUAUUAUUCUUGAAUGUAGAGACAUCAGGUUAUUAAACAUGGUAGUUCAAAUUAGUAUAUGAGUGUGCUGUCGUUUAACCAGAGGGAUUGUUCAGUUGGUAUAUAAAUGAAAUUGCUUCCAGAUCUGUAUCGAGCAUUGCAACUUGCAAGACUAAAUAAGUUUUGGAUCAGCAGAUUUAUAACUUUGUAAUGCAGAGAAAAAAGUUGUUCUGUUCCCCCCACAAAAAAUGAAAAAAAUUGUAUUAUCUAUUUACUUCACAAUAGUUUUUUCUUGGAAUCUCCUGGUAUGCAGCUUGCUAUCUAUUUUAUAUUGCUCUGCAUAUAUUAUGAUAUUAUAAUUUAUAUUGCUUUGAUUCCUCCAUUUGCUACAGGAACCGAAUUGUGUACCUAAUUAAACAGUUAAUGAUUUAUCUUCUGCUAUAUGUUUCUAGGAUGUGGACUUACGCAUAGACGUACAAACAUGCUAUAUAUUGAAUUUUUUUAAGGUCUAUUUAUUGAAUUGUUGCUUUGAUUAUUAUCUGGAUUUAUGCCUACUUGUAGUCUGGACUUUGGUAGAUGUGGUCCAUUUUUCUAGCAUUAGCGAAGUGAAUUACUGAACUAUUGGUUGCUGUGUAUUUCAAUAUUUGUAGGAUGUCUGAGAGAAAUGCAACAUCGGCAUUGCAGGAGGAGAAUGUCUUAAGAGAAAGUCAGAUGAUGUGGGAUGAGACUAUGGGAGUCUAGCUGAUGCUUCCAACAAGGAUAAAGUGAAGUGUAUUUUCUGUAACCAUGUGAGCACUGGAGGUGUUACCAACUCUCCUGGUAACAGUAUGAUGUGUAUGCUAUGUGUGUUCAAUGUUCCACUUCCAUUGUUUCCUACAGAAUUUUAUUGUGUGGCUUGAAUUUUUUUCUUCAUGAAGAUAUAACAAGAACAAUAAAGAGCGGUAAUUGUAACAGGUUAGGACCAAGCAUUUCCUAAAGAUGUGUAAUUAAUACAUUUGUUGUUAAACAACAAACAUACAUUCCCCAUUCCAACUAGUAAAAAC